AGCUAAUACUUGCUUUAGCACUCUUGAUUUAUUUCUUGAGUGUGUACUUGUUAAGCCUUAUAAGAAAAGAGUUAUUAACUUAAGGAAUUAUAACAAAGAAGUAACACGUAAUGGAUCAAUCCAUUUUUAGUGUGUAUCAAUCGAGUUUCUGACCUAUCAGCUUUUGAUGUUAGGGUAUUGGCCUAACAUGGCUAUGACGGGUAACGGGGAAUUAGAGUUCGAUUCCGGAGAGGGAGCCUGAGAAAUAGCUACCACAUCUAAGGAAGGCAGCAGGCGCGUAAAUUACCCAAUUCUAAGGAAGAGAGGUAGUGACAAGAAAUAACAAUACAAGGCCAAUCUGGCUUUGUAAUUGGAAUGAUGGGAAUUUAAAACCUUCCCAAAAUUCAAUUGGAGGGCAAGUCUGGUGCCAGCAGCCGCGGUAAUUCCAGCUCCAAUAGCGUAUAUUAAAAUUGUUGCAGUUAAAACGCUCGUAGUUGAAUUUCAAAGAAUCGAUAUUUUAAGUAACGCUUCUAGCUACAAAUCCACAUAACUGAUGCCUCCGCGUAUCGACUUUGUGCGCAUUUUAGCUAUUAUGUGUUCUUUUAAUUAAAAUGAUUCUUUUUAAGAUUCAUCUAUUAAAAAUUUGCUUCGGCAUAAUUUUUUUUGAUGGUCUUGUUACUUUGAGUAAAUUAGAGUGUUCAAAGCAAACAGAUAUAGCAUUUGUGCGUUUGAAUACUACAGCAUGGAAUAACAAAAUUGAACAAGUCAGAAUUUUUUUGUUCUUUUUUCUUAUUUUGGCUUAGUUACGAUUAAUAGGAGUAGCUUGGGGGCAUUUGUAUUCAGAUGUCAGAGGUGAAAUUCUUAGAUUUUCUGGAGACAAACAACUGCGGAAGCAUUUGCCUAAAAUACUUCCAUUAAUCAAGAACGAAAGUUAAGGGAGUGAAGACGAUCAGAUACCGUCGUAAUCUUAACCAUAAACUAUGCCGACUAGGCUUUGGAUGAAAGAUUUUAAAAUAAGAGUUUU
RNAcentral lists this ribosomal RNA (1003 nucleotides) under Plasmodium knowlesi. RNAcentral's name for it is "SSU rRNA". It matches the Rfam family "Eukaryotic small subunit ribosomal RNA", at positions 162 to 1078 of the family's 1831-position model. Lineage: Eukaryota; Apicomplexa; Aconoidasida; Haemosporida; Plasmodiidae. The record is from RNAcentral.